RNAcentral lists this ribosomal RNA (407 nucleotides) under uncultured bacterium. RNAcentral's name for it is "partial 16S ribosomal RNA". It matches the Rfam family "Bacterial small subunit ribosomal RNA", at positions 28 to 526 of the family's 1533-position model. The record is from RNAcentral.
GACGAACGCUGGCGGCGUGCCUAAUACAUGCAAGUAGGACGCAGUUGCGUACGGGUGAGUAACGCGUAGGUAACUGCCUAUUCGUGGCGGAUAACUAUUGGAAACGAUAGCUAAUACCGCAUACUAGUCGAUGGACCUGCGUUGUAUUAGCUAGUAGGUAGGGUAAAGGCCUACCUAGGCGACGAUACGUAGCCGAUCUGAGAGGGUGAUCGGCCACACGGGGACUGAGACACGGUCCAGACUCCUACGGGAGGCAGCAGUGGGGAAUAUUGGACGAUGGGCGAAAGCCUGAUCCAGCCAUGCCGCGUGUAUGAAGAAGGUCUUCGGAUUGUAAAGCACUUUAAGUUGGGAAGCGUUACCAACAGAAUAAGCACCGGCUAACUUCGUGCCAGCCGCCGCGGUAAUAC